UACGUAGGGGUGCAAGCGUUAAUCGGAAUUACUGGGCGUAAAGCGUGCGCAGGCGGUGAUGUAAGACAGGUGUGAAAUCCCCGGGCUUAACCUGGGAACUGCAUUUGUGACUGUAGAGCUGGAGUGCGGCAGAGGGGGAUGGAAUUCCGGCGUGUAGCAGUGAAAUGCGUAGAGAUGUGGAGGAACACCGAUGGCGAAGGCAGCCCCCUGGGUCAAGAUUGACGCUCAUGCACGAAAGCGUGGGGAGC
RNAcentral lists this ribosomal RNA (248 nucleotides) under uncultured bacterium. RNAcentral describes it as "partial 16S ribosomal RNA". It matches the Rfam family "Bacterial small subunit ribosomal RNA", at positions 524 to 769 of the family's 1533-position model. The record is from RNAcentral.